Podarcis muralis (Common wall lizard) is the source of this 637-nucleotide long non-coding RNA. RefSeq lists it as uncharacterized. Lineage: Eukaryota; Metazoa; Chordata; Lepidosauria; Squamata; Lacertidae. The record is from RefSeq and is a predicted model, not a curated record.
CAUCAAUAGUAUAUGAACAGCUAAUUAAUCAUUAACCAAGGCUUUAAUAAAUGGUUACUCACUUGUUUGCCAAUGUGGAACAAAGAACCAGUUGCGUGUGGGAUGAUCAGAUGAAAUUCUACAAAGGUAACUUCAGAUGAAGACGAUGCUGAUGAUGUGCAGGCUACUUUUCAGUAGGGAAGUUGAUCAUUCUAUGUGUCCCCUGAAUAAUGAGGGUGAUUUGGGGAAGACUCCCAUAUUCUCAAGUCAGAUCAUGCCAUCAACAAAGUGUCUAGACCAGAGAAUCUUAAAAGCAGUUAUUUUGCCUCUGAUUUUCCAAAAAGCUAAAAACACAACAAGGGGGCCUGCCAGAAGGGGUCGCUGCGGUGCACAGAUUUCAAAGCUAGAUACGUGAAGGGGAAGAGGAAGAUGCUUUGGAAACAGAACUAAAGGAGAGAGAUAUUUGCCGAAAGCAGCACCAGAAAUCAGUGGAGUCGAGGAACUGCAAGGCCCAUAACCGUUAAGAGCCUUAACUACCGAAGCUGAUCACCACCAUAAGGGAUAGGGGAGAUAUUUUGUGCAGUUCACAUAUUAAUGCAGACUUAUUUAAUUCACACUCCCCUCACAAAAAAGUGAAUUAAAAUGUUAUCCUUUGAAA